GACGAACGCUGGCGGCGUGCCUAAUACAUGCAAGUAGAACGCUGAAGGAGGAGCUUGCUUCUCUGGAUGAGUUGCGAACGGGUGAGUAACGCGUAGGUAACCUGCCUGGUAGCGGGGGAUAACUAUUGGAAACGAUAGCUAAUACCGCAUAAGAGUAGAUGUUGCAUGACAUUUGCUUAAAAGGUGCAAUUGCAUCACUACCAGAUGGACCUGCGUUGUAUUAGCUAGUUGGUGGGGUAACGGCUCACCAAGGCGACGAUACAUAGCCGACCUGAGAGGGGGAUCGGCCACACUGGGAAUGAGACACGGCCCAGACUCCUACGGGAGGCAGCAGUAGGGAAUCUUCGGCAAUGGACGGAAGUCUGACCGAGCAACGCCGCGUGAGUGAAGAAGGGUUUCGGAUCGUAAAGCUCUGUUGUAAGAGAAGAACGAGUGUGAGAGUGGAAAGUUCACACUGUGACGGUAUCUUACCAGAAAGGGACGGCUAACUACGUG
Molecule: ribosomal RNA, 495 nt
Filed under: uncultured bacterium
Lineage: Bacteria
Description: partial 16S ribosomal RNA
Rfam family: Bacterial small subunit ribosomal RNA
Source: RNAcentral